Long non-coding RNA from Prionailurus viverrinus (fishing cat), 511 nucleotides. RefSeq lists it as uncharacterized. The transcript is spliced from 3 exons. The record is from RefSeq and is a predicted model, not a curated record. NCBI's taxonomy places the organism in Eukaryota, Metazoa, Chordata, Mammalia, Carnivora, Felidae.
AAAGAACUGAAUAUAAACAUGGACCUUCACAAUGCAAAGGUGAAGGCACAGUUGACGAGACUUGGGAUGAGCUGCUGGGAAGGAAAUGUCAACAGACAGGAUAUUCAAAAGUCCACUGAAUUUGAGAAAUAAGGAGACAAGGCUACACACGUGUACAGACAUGGGCAUAAUCACCAGAAGAAGAAAAUAUAAAUACAACACAAAUGGUCACUUCUGAGAAGUAAGGCCGAGAACAGGAAGAGGUGGAACACAGCUCUGGAGGCCCAAGAUCAAGGUGUUGGCAAGGGUGGAUUCCUUCCAGGGCUGUAAGGAAGGCUCUGUUCCAGGUCUCUCCUCCAGCUGGUGGUGGUUUGCUGGCCAUCUCUGGCCUCCCUCAGCUUGUUGGUGCAUCACCCUUGAUCUCUGCCUUCAUGUUCUCAUGGCCUUCUCCCUGUGUGUGUGAACUGUCCAAAUUUCCCCUCUUCAUAUGGACACCAGUCAUAUUGGAUUAGAGGCCCACCCUCCUCCAGUA